CGCAAAGUGGCCUCUGUAAGCAUAACAGAAAGCCCAAGCAAGCGCCCAGCGGAUAAGGCCACUGAAAUAGAAGGUGAAGUUUUUUUGGGGUGCGGCAAUUGGCAAACUGGUAAUGGCGUCACCAUCUACAGCGGCAACUCUCUCAUGGAGUUCUUCCUCUUGGCUUCACAGCUUUUGUGGACACUCUAAUGAAAUCUCCAAGUUGCCGGACAAAAGAAUGCCCAUGGUGAUUUGGGCUCAAAAGAAAGCCAAAAAGACCAGAAAGAUAAUAUUGAAAGAGGAUGUGACAGAUUUGGGGAAAAAGGGGCAAUUGCUCGAUGUGAAGGCUGGUUAUUACAGGAAUUAUCUUCUGCCCAUGGGCAAGGCCCAGAUUGUUACUCCUUCUCUACUAAAGGAAAUGCGGAUGGAAGAAGAAAGAAUUGAUGCUGAGAAAAAACGGGUAAAAGAAGAGGCACAGCAGCUUGCUCUUAUUUUUGAAACUGUUGGAGCUUUCAAGGUGAAGCGCAAAGGUGGAAAGGGCAAACAAAUAUUUGGAAGUGUAACUGCUCAAGAUCUUGUUGACAUCAUCAAGGCACAGCUUCAGAGGGAUGUGGACAAGCGAAUUGUUUCUCUUCCAGAAAUCAGGGAAACAGGAGAAUAUAUUGCUGAGCUUAAGCUUCAUCCUGAAGUUACUGCUCGGGUGAGGGUGAAUGUUUAUGCUAACUAAGGAAUAGCAUCUUUUGGAAGCCCACUCUCUUAAUGGAUGAUUUCUGUGAGCAACUUGCAUCAGGAUCAGGAGGACAUCAAAUGCAAUAUGAAAUUGAAUGAGACACCACUUGGAGAAUGAUGGGUGUUAGUUGUCUGAAAUCUUGUUUCUCUUCAUAAGAUGUGAUUUGCUGUUUCAUGUUCGUACUUCUCCUGUAGAAUGUUGUCAUGAAUUGUUCUCUACUGCUAUAUGUUUCUACUACAACAAUUUUUGGAAUUUCCAGCAUCUCUGUUUAUCCCCUUAUUAGUUGAAUUUGGUACUUAGAUUUUGGCAUUUGUUGAAGAAUCUCCCUUUAGACAUUGUCAUUGGCCAAGCAUACAUGGGUAUCUGUGCUUCUGAUUUGAUACAACUUGUAAAAGCAUGUAUAGUUUAAGGCUUUAAGCUGUCCAUUCUAACUUA
RNA transcript from Manihot esculenta (cassava), 1144 nucleotides. It is a transcript of the gene named 50S ribosomal protein L9, chloroplastic, with no coding region annotated. The transcript is spliced from 7 exons. The record is from RefSeq and is a predicted model, not a curated record. NCBI's taxonomy places the organism in Eukaryota, Viridiplantae, Streptophyta, Magnoliopsida, Malpighiales, Euphorbiaceae.